Puntigrus tetrazona (Sumatra barb) is the source of this 572-nucleotide long non-coding RNA. RefSeq lists it as uncharacterized. The transcript has 5 exons. Lineage: Eukaryota; Metazoa; Chordata; Actinopteri; Cypriniformes; Cyprinidae. The record is from RefSeq and is a predicted model, not a curated record.
GGGUGUGUUUGUCAUCUUUAAGGAGGCCAGGAAGCCCUGCUGAGACUUUCAUCUGAUACGUCUGAAGGCUUUCUGAGUUUUCCUGUCCGAUUCGAUGCCUUCUAAGCGCUCUGAUGAGCUAGAGUCUCGAUGUGGAGAGAGUCGGAUGGCAGGACCCAAGCCAGCGUGGUUUCUGCGGCAGAACUACUCUGAAAGCUCGGCGAAGUUCACAGAGGUUGCGGGAGCCCCAUAGUGCUGUGGUCGAGGUGUUUGGUUGAAUGGCCUGGUUAAAAACAUUCAGCUGGCCAAGUGGAAAAACAACCAAUGUAUCUAUCAACUCGAGCUGAUAAAAGGACGGAGGAGGAGCAGGAAGGAAGUUUUGCCUUGCGGUACCUUGGAAAGAAUCAAGCCGAAGAAACAUAUGUUGGGUGAUGAAACGUCGCCUUUUCUAGUUUGAGAAGGUUGCAUAUUUUUGCGUGCGGCUUUAAGCAUUUUUUGAGAUGAAGAUCGUGCUAAUAAAUUGCAUUUUCAAGCCAAAUAACAAUUAACUGUUUGUAAACAUUUUUAGAAUUAAAUAAUGAAAGUUUUUUCUU